This 419-nucleotide ribosomal RNA is filed under the name uncultured bacterium. Its description in RNAcentral is "partial 16S ribosomal RNA". It matches the Rfam family "Bacterial small subunit ribosomal RNA", at positions 338 to 754 of the family's 1533-position model. The record is from RNAcentral.
CCUACGGGUGGCAGCAGUGAGGAAUAUUGGUCAAUGGGCGUAAGCCUGAACCAGCCAAGUCGCGUGAGGGAUGAAGGUUCUAUGGAUCGUAAACCUCUUUUAUAAGGGAAUAAAGUGCGGGACGUGUCCCGUGUUGUAUGUACCUUAUGAAUAAGGAUCGGCUAACUCCGUGCCAGCAGCCGCGGUAAUACGGAGGAUCCGAGCGGUAUCCGGAUUUAUUGGGUUUAAAGGGUGCGUAGGCGGCCUUUUAAGUCAGCGGGGAAAGUCUGUGGCUCAACCAUAGAAUUGCCGUUGAAACUGGGAGGCUUGCUUAUGUUUGCGGCAGGCGGCAUGCGUUGUGUAGCGGUCAACUGCAUAGCUAUCACGCAGAACCCCGAUUGCGAAGGCAGCAUACCGGUGCACACCUGACGCUCAGGCAC